CCCCUAGAUGUUCUGGGCCGCACGCGCGCUACACUGACGAAUGCAACGAGCUUAUAACCUUGGCCGAAAGGUCUGGGUAAUCUCCAAAUUUCGUCGUGAUGGGGAUAGAUUAUUGCAAUUAUUAAUCUUCAACGAGGAAUGCCUAGUAAGCGCAAGUCAUCAGCUUGCGUUGAUUACGUCCCUGCCCUUUGUACACACCGCCCGUCGCUCCUACCGAUUGAAUGGUCCGGUGAAGCGUUCGGACCGUGGCCUUUGGACGGUUCGCCGUCUGUUGGCUGCGGGAAGUUCGUUAAACCUUAUCAUUUAGAGGAAGGUGAAGUCGUAACA
Molecule: ribosomal RNA, 327 nt
Filed under: uncultured eukaryote
Lineage: Eukaryota
Description: partial 18S ribosomal RNA
Rfam family: Eukaryotic small subunit ribosomal RNA
Source: RNAcentral